RNAcentral lists this ribosomal RNA (253 nucleotides) under uncultured bacterium. RNAcentral's name for it is "partial 16S ribosomal RNA". It matches the Rfam family "Bacterial small subunit ribosomal RNA", at positions 524 to 776 of the family's 1533-position model. The record is from RNAcentral.
UACGUAGGGGGCAAGCGUUAUCCGGAUUUACUGGGUGUAAAGGGGGCGCAGACGGCGAUGCAAGCCAGGAGUGAAAGCCCGGAGCCCAACCCCGGGACUGCUCUUGGAACUGCGUGGCUGGAGUGCAGGAGGGGCAGGCGGAAUUCCUGGUGUAGCGGUGAAAUGCGUAGAUAUCAGGAGGAACACCGGUGGCGAAGGCGGCCUGCUGGACUGCAACUGACGUUGAGGCCCGAAAGCGUGGGGAGCAAACAGG